Peromyscus maniculatus bairdii (prairie deer mouse) is the source of this 1947-nucleotide non-coding RNA. The record is from RefSeq and is a predicted model, not a curated record. NCBI's taxonomy places the organism in Eukaryota, Metazoa, Chordata, Mammalia, Rodentia, Cricetidae.
CUGAAGGUGACAUCACACUCAGGUGCUGGACUCUGGGAUUCUACCCUGCUGACAUCACUAUGACAUGGAAGAGAGAUGAAGAGGAACUAACACAGGACAUGGAGCUGCUGGAAACCAGGCCUGCAGGGGAUGGAACCUUCCAGAAGUGAGCAGCUGUGGUGGUGCUUAUUGAAGAGGAGCAGAAAUACACAUGCCAUGUGCAGCAUGAGGAGCCUCCUCAGUCCAUCCCCAUCAUGACCAUUGUCUGUGCUGUCCUUGGAGCUGUGGUGAUCUUAGGUUUUAUCAUUGGAGGUGUUAUGCUGUGGAUGAGGAAGAACACAGGUGGAGAAGGAGGCUAUGCUCCUGCUGCAGCUUUUCAACAUGGCCAACUUGUCUUCAGUGCUCACCUUCCUUGGGUGGAGUGAUCCUGGAGAACCAGACUGCAUUGCUUAUAAAGCCCACACAGACUCAGACCUGUGCCCAGAUCUCAUGAUGGAGGCCAUGGCGCCUUGCAAGCUACUGCUGCAGCUGGGGACAGCCCUGUCCACCACACAGACCAGUGCAGCCACGCGGAGACUCUGAGGACGAAGUCCGGAGCGCCGUGGCUGGAACAGGAUGGGCGGGAGUAUUGGGAGCAGGAGGCAUGGAACGCCAAGAUCACCCAGCCGAUUUUCUGAACUACAAACACAGUCAAGAAGGCUCUCAUACCAUCCAGGUGAUGUCUGGCUGUAAAGUGGAUUCGAACAGCUGCCUCCUUUGUGGAUAUGAAGGAUAUACCUAUGAUGUCUGCAAUUACAUCUCCCUGAUGGAGGACCUGAGAACAUGGACAGAGGAACAGAUCACCUGGUUGGAGAUGGAGCAGGCUGGAAAUGCAGAGACACAGGGCCUACCAGGAGACACAUGUGACCUCAUACCCACAGAGACACAGAGACACAGAUCUCAAGGUGAUGUCACCCUGAGGUGCUGGGCCCUGGGUUUCUACCCUGCUGACAUCACUCUGACCUGGAAGAGGGAUGAGGAGGAACAGACACAGGUCAUGGAACGGGUGGAGACCAGACCUGCAGUGGAUGGAAGCUUCCAGAAGUGGGCAGCUGUGGUGGUGCCUUUUGGAGAGGAGCUGAAAUACACAUGCCAUGUGCAGCAUGAGGGUCUGCCUGAGCCCCUCAACCUGAGUUUCGAGCCUCCUCAGUCCAUCAUGACCAUUGUCUGUGCUGUCCUUGGAGCUGUGGUGAUCUUAGGUUUUAUCAUUGGAGGUGUUAUGAUGUGGAAGAGGAAGAAGACAGCAAGUGCCAGCCAGGCCUGGGGGAGCCCCUGUACGUGGAAUCCGGCUACAUGGACGACAGACACGCAGUUCAUGAGCUUCGACAGCAAAGCAGAGACUCCGAGAUAUGAGCCACAGGCGCCAUGGAUGGGGCAGGAGGGGCCAGAGUAUUGGGAGAAGGAGAUGCAGAUCGCCAAGGGCAAUGAGCAGACUUUGCAGGUCGGUCCCAUGGACUUUGGUGGAGUCCCAGGGAAGAAUGCAAAACGCCUGAGCUUUCCAACUUCUCCUCGGACCCUCCAGACCCUCCGCGUGUGACCCAUCACUCCAGAUCUCAAGGUGGUGUCACACUCAGGUGCUGUGCCCUGGGAUUCUAGCAUGCUGACAUCACCCUGACCUGGAAGAAUCAGGAGGAACAGAUACAGGACAUGGUGGAGACAAGACCUGCAGGGAUGAAAGUUUCCAGAAGUGGGCAGCUGUGGUGGUACCUUUUGGAAAGAAGCAGAAAUACACAUGCCAUGUUGAGCAUGAAGAUCCUAGACCCUCUCCAGACAACCAUCACCAUCGUGACCAUUGUCUGUGCUGUCCUUGGAGCUGUGGUGAUCUUCGGUUUUUAUCAUUGGAGGUUUUAUGAUGUGGAUGAGGAAGAACACAGGUGGAGAAGGAGGCUAUGCUCCUGCUGCAGGUCAGUAUGUGAGGGAUGAAUUGUC